AUUGAACGCUGGCGGCAUGCCUAACACAUGCAAGUCGAACGCGAAAGGGCUUCGGCCUGAGUAGAGUGGCGGACGGGUGAGUAAUGCGUGGGGAUCUGCCCUGCAGUGGGGGACAACCCGGGGAAACUCGGGCUAAUACCGCAUACGUCCUAAGGGAGAAAGGGGGCCUUCGGGCUCUCGCUGCAGGAUGAGCCCACGUCCGAUUAGCUAGUUGGUAGGGUAAAGGCCUACCAAGGCGACGAUCGGUAGCUGGUCUGAGAGGAUGACCAGCCACACUGGGACUGAGACACGGCCCAGACUCCUACGGGUGGCAG
Molecule: ribosomal RNA, 314 nt
Filed under: uncultured Pseudomonadota bacterium
Lineage: Bacteria; Pseudomonadati; Pseudomonadota
Description: bacterial SSU rRNA
Rfam family: Bacterial small subunit ribosomal RNA
Source: RNAcentral